RNAcentral lists this transfer RNA (73 nucleotides) under Actinomycetes bacterium. Its description in RNAcentral is "Actinobacteria bacterium tRNA-Gln". It matches the Rfam family "tRNA". From Rfam's summary of the family: Transfer RNA (tRNA) molecules are approximately 80 nucleotides in length. Their secondary structure includes four short double-helical elements and three loops (D, anti-codon, and T loops). Further hydrogen bonds mediate the characteristic L-shaped molecular structure. tRNAs have two regions of fundamental functional importance: the anti-codon, which is responsible for specific mRNA codon recognition, and the 3' end, to which the tRNAs corresponding amino acid is attached (by aminoacyl-tRNA synthetases). tRNAs cope with the degeneracy of the genetic code in two manners: having more than one tRNA (with a specific anti-codon) for a particular amino acid; and 'wobble' base-pairing, i.e. permitting non-standard base-pairing at the 3rd anti-codon position. RNAcentral also lists the same sequence under 2 other names. Lineage: Bacteria; Bacillati; Actinomycetota; Actinomycetes. The record is from RNAcentral.
UGGGGAGUGGUGUAAGCGGCUAGCACGGUGGGUUUUGGUCCCACAAGAGCGGGUUCGAUCCCUGCCUCCCCAG